Molecule: long non-coding RNA, 2375 nt
Organism: Esox lucius (northern pike)
Lineage: Eukaryota; Metazoa; Chordata; Actinopteri; Esociformes; Esocidae
Exons: 5
Source: RefSeq, a predicted model, not a curated record
UUGGGGGUACUCGAGGACCGGAGUUGCGAACCACUGGUUUAGGAGAUGCAGUCCUGCAGAGGGGAUAGACUCCUGCUACCAUUUCAUCCAACACAACUGACUGUAUUAACCAGCAGCUCGCUAGGAUAUUUAUUCGCUAAAUCACUGGUGUUACAUGUAGAAUGUAGCAGUUCUCCGGGAGGAUCGUGGCUUUUUAGCCAUGCAAAUAUCAGGUCUGUGGUCCCAGGACCGCCAGAAGAUCCACAAAGGAAAAGAAACGCACUGAGGCAUUUGUUUUAUACUAUAGGCGUACGGUAGGAUAUCAAACGGUAGAAAUUACUUUUAAACGCUUAACGCCAUUAUUUAUUGGUCUUUUUUAGUCUCGAAACAAUCCAUCUGUGCUUAUCUAGAGCUGGAGCUAUGCCCUGACACCCGUCCUGGGUUUUUACUGCAACAGCGUAGGCCUACAGGGAACUUUAUUUCUAUUUUGUCCCCCAGUAUAGAAUUGGAGAAUAGCCUUUCUUGUCGUGAACCGUGUUUACUCGCCACGAACACGAAUCCUACACAUCCUGUCGUUCAAUGACAUCCUGCUGUUCCAAGUUCUCGGGAAUGGGAAAUCUCUCCUAGCGUCUCCAUCUCGGUCUGCCACCAAAAGCCCACCGAAGGAGAAGGCCAGCAAGUGCCUCUGAUCCUCUUCUCCAACUGGUCCCGUGGUUCAGUGUGUUCUCAACCACCUGGUAACACCUUGGUUGUUGCAUGACCGGAACUGAAAGUUGUUUUCAACGACACAUGGGUUACUGCAGACCUGGAGUUUGGAGAAAGGGAGUGACGGGAGCAUAUGGAUGCCUAUGGAGCGGUGUUUAUUGUUUGAUUAUUGGGCGAAUUUGUUGCCUCUCAAUACCGUUUUGCAUGGCGGGUUGGACGGUUUUCUUCAGGAAGUCUACAUCUGUUAAGAUGGCUCAUUCCAGAAGGCACGGAGGCAGAGUACGGUAAAUCUGUACUUGGCCUGUACCAGUAGAAGUGCAACUUUUUUCAUUGCCCAUUCUGCCAGGCAGCAAUUUUCAAGCAGAACGACUAUGCCAGUAUGUGGACACAUUGAGACUCAAACUUAAAUGCUUUGCAAAAGGAGGUUUGGAAUGUAUGCUACAGGAUUAUGAAAGAGACUUUACAGCUGCAGGUAGGUUUUUAUUUACAGUUUAGUCUGUGAAUUGUAAUGUUUUAGUCAUUAGCCUAUUUUCAUCCUACAGGGAAAGGUGCCACCUACAUGGCUCCUUCCCAGCAGCUAUGAUCCACAGCUCUCCUUUCCAACACUGCAAGAAGUUGCGCACUUCAUGGAACAGGGGAAAGCAAAUCUGAGGGACGGUGUGUCCCCAGUCCUUCAUAUAUGAAGAAAGAGGAGGCAUGUGGUCAUCACAAUGAUGAGUCCUGUAACACUGCUUGUCAUUCCGGAUUAGAAACUGACAUUCCAGCGGUCUGUUGCAAAGCCACCAGUGCAGAAUGUGUGUUUUGAAUCGGACCCAAUAUUCAUUUAAAGAAUACACUACUAAUACAAGUAUGAAAUGCCAGAAAAUAUAUUUAAACAACAAACAAGCUUUCAUACAUGUUGGCAGAUGUUACAUUAAAUUGUCACACUGUGACCUGGCUGUACAUUUCAUUGUAGGUAGUUUCACAUAAUAAGAGAAUGCAAUAAAUGACAGCAAUUAUGGUCUUUUCUAUAGACACCCUGGGAUACAACUGAGAACUGUUACGCAAAGAGGGUCUGUGAGACUGAUGCUGUAGUCAGGGUUAGUUUAUUAAGUUAAUAAUUUAUUUUACUCCGAACCAAACCGUUCACUUAUAUGGCCACAUUGCUAUUGUGUCCGUAGUGUUUUGUUUUAUUUCCCACAAAAGGCAGAAGAGACAACCAUUUUAAAGGUAAAAUGCAUAUGAGAAUAAUCAAAAAUAACCACCUUUGUCUCAAACUAGUUUUUAUGACUGAUUAAUACACUACAACGUAAGUGUGCAUGUUGUGACUGUACACUCAAUGUCUGGUUUAUUAGGUACACCGGUCUAUGUGAGCACAGAGUCUACAAGAUGUCCAAAAUAUUCCACAAGGCUGAUGAUUCAUGCUGACGUGAUGGAAUUAUGCAGUUGUAACAGAUUGGAUGGUGUCAUGAUGUGAGCAGCCUGUUUCAUCUCAUCCUAAAAAUUUUCUAUUGGGUUAGCGUCUAGGGGCUGCUUUCGUCAGGAAACUUAACUGAAAUAGGAUUAGUCAGACCCGACAAUGUUUUUCUAUUGCUCAGGUUUCCUGUGUUGGUGAUUGCAUUCUCACUGAAGCCAUUUAUGCUUUUUUUAAAACUGAUAGAACACAGUGUGAUUGUCUGCUCUGCUACAAUAUAGCCCAUCCAUGAAAACCA